RNAcentral lists this microRNA precursor (52 nucleotides) under Marmota monax (woodchuck). Lineage: Eukaryota; Metazoa; Chordata; Mammalia; Rodentia; Sciuridae. The record is from RNAcentral.
UUGUUAGUCUAAGUAUGUCCCGUGUAAUAUUGCGGAUAUACUUAUAUUAAAA